Non-coding RNA from Schistosoma mansoni, 45 nucleotides. Lineage: Eukaryota; Metazoa; Platyhelminthes; Trematoda; Strigeidida; Schistosomatidae. The record is from Rfam.
ACCCAGCUAACGAGUCCCAAAUAGGACGAAACGCGCGUCCUGGAU